This 3926-nucleotide long non-coding RNA is filed under the name Sus scrofa (pig). RNAcentral describes it as "lncRNA (ENSSSCG00000047775.2, ENSSSCG00110026887.1)". The record is from RNAcentral. Lineage: Eukaryota; Metazoa; Chordata; Mammalia; Artiodactyla; Suidae.
ACUACUUCUUUCUGUAAAUAUUUUCUGUGGUCUGGGGUUUAUCUUUAACUUUGUAAUGAUGUUUUUGGUUGUAUGCAUGAGUUACAUUUUAAUAUAGCCAUAUUUUUUCAAUCUUUUCAAGGGUGAAUUAACAUAAAAUAUUUUUAGAUGUAUGUAUUGGAGGGGGAAGUUAUCAAAGGAAAUUCUUGCCAAAUGACCUUUUUUUCUCUGUAUCGUAAAAAAAAUCAGUUCUUAAUAGACAGCUGUAGAGUCCCUGAGCUUCCUUCUUUAGCUAACAUAUAUUAAUUGAUUCUACAACAAAGGCCUAGAUCUGGGAGUUGGCCAGGGUGGGGCCAGGGAGGGAAGGGAGGGUAUGAAAUUUCAUAUGUGGAACCCUGCCUUCCUAGAGCUUACCAUCAGAGGACUAAUAUGAGUUAGACUGUAUAGCCUGAUAUACUUCAGUAGCAGCUCAGAGGAAGGAGAGAUGGGGGUAGGACUGAGUAAUUAUCUAUGGACUGGAUUAAUCAAGGAAGAUCUGAUGUCGACUUUCUUGACUUCCCAUAAACUAAGAAUCACAUGGGAGUUCACAUUGCGGCUCAGCGCAAACAAACUUGACUACAGUCCAUAAGGAUGCGGGUUCAAUCUCUGGCAUCGCUCAGUGGGUUAAAGGAUCCAGUGCUGCCGCAAACUGCAGUAUAGGUGGAGGAUGUGGCUGGGAUCUAGUGUUGCUAUGGCUGUGGUUAUGUAGGUUGGUGGCUACAGCUCAGAUUUGACCCCCAGCCUGGGAACUUCCAUAUGCUGCAAAGAAAAACAGAUAAAGAAAUGGAGGCUGAUAUCCAUAAGGUCUCCCUGCUGAAGAUCUCCCAGCUAGUGAGAGGUAGAAUCCACACUAGAACUUUAGGUUGCAGUCAAGUGUGCUGUUUUACCUACCAGUCAAGAAAGCUGAUGUGUCUUCUUUUGAUCAUAAAAUAGAAAUCUGAGAGCAAUGCAAAUGAAAAACUGAGUAAGACCACACAGAACAUCGAUUACAACCAAAACAAACAAACAAAAAAAUGAAAGCCCACGAUCAUUUAAUCUGGGCUCACAACUCACAAACUGUUAGAAACAGCUAUUACAUUCACAUCAACUUGUUUGCCUUAUAAGGAUACAGGAAAUAUGGUUAAACUCGUUUUCUUUAGAUAGGGCAGAAAACAGUACUUUAUCCCAGGACACUUUUUUAGAAGACACAGCAAAAAUGAGAAUAAAUAAACAUGGGCUCUGUGUUUAGUAUUUUCUCUAAAUAAACCACAAGAUGAAUGGCCACAUAUAUCCAUAAAUUGUAGUUACUUUCUUGUCUCAGUUACAUGAGUUUGGUUCUUCUACUGACUGUCAGAUUAAUUGGUUCUACUUCACUCUGCCUAUGGAAAAAGCAUCAAAAAGGUACCUAAUCAGUAACACUGGAAAAAAAGACAAAACAGAGAUACACUGACUGAAGUGCUCAUAAUCAAGCUAUUAUAGUGCUUUUGUCUGUAUCUAUAUCCUUACCAGCAAACAAGAAUGUAAAAAUCACUUUCAACUGCCUGCCAAGAGACACACCAUUACUUAGGAUCAAUUAGAAGUUCUUUCCACCAAGAAAAUGCUUCAAAACACUAUCUCCCCAAAUACCACACAAUAUCACUUAUAUGUGGAAUCUAAAAUAUGGCACAGAUGAGCCUAUCUAUGGGACAGAAACAGACUCACAAACAUGGAGAGCAGACUGUGGUUGCUGAGGGGGAGGGAAUGGGAUGGACUGAGAGUUUGGGGUUAGUAGAUGCAAACUGUCACAUUUACAAUGGAUAAGCAAUGAGAUCCUGCUGUAUAGCACAGGGAACUAUAUCUAAUCACUUGUGAUAGAACAUGAUAGAAGAUAAUAUGAGAAAAAGAAUGUGUAUAUAUAUGUACGACUGGAUCAAUAUGUUGUAUGGCAGAAAUUCACAGAACAUUGUAAAUCAACUAUAAUAAAAAUUUUUUAAAAAUAAAGAAAAUGGUAACUCCUUUUAUCUUACUAUAGUAAUAACCUUAUAAAGCAACGGAUAUCAUGUGCCCAUGUGUCAGAGAAAUAUCAUAAUGCUAAAUACAAGAAGUCUUUAGAACAUUCUUCAAAGUCAAACAUAAUAUUCACUGCUAUCUAAAGUUUGCUUCCUCCACAUUCUCAAGGAGACUGGAUUCUACUAGUCCCGGAGACAUCUUGCCAAAUGUUGACGAUGCGAAAAAGUACAAGAUGUGAUCAUUGCCCCUUAGAUAUCAUGUCUAGAAUAGCUCCAUUCUAAACACCAAUAGCUCAGGGUGUUUGUUACUAGAUUCAAAACACUAAGGGAGAAGAAAUGGGAAGCGAGGAGCUCUGUGAAAGCUGGUGAGCAGUCACCAAAGCCCCAUCAGAACUGGGUCAUUAAAGAUAUUCUUCCAGGCAGGAAAGUGGGGGAAAGGCAUGUGAAUGUAGAACAGAUAUUAGAGGCAAAGCUGUAGUGCAUGAAAGAAGAGGGUAGGUUCAUACAUGGAGAGUAUGGUCAGGGCUCAGGCUGAGAAGCAGGCUAUGGCCCAAUCACCAAAGGCUUUAUAUGGAAGGCUAACAAAUGGGAAUUUUGAGGGGUGGGUGUGGUGAUGCUUGGAUUGGCAUAUCCAGAAGAUCAAUCUGGCAGCCAAGUGUGGAAGAUGCAUCUCAUGGAAGGAUCCCCAUCUUAAGCUACUGGAUCGAGCUAGGUGAGAAAUGAUGACAGCCUGGUCUGCAGCAAUGGGAUGGAGAAAAGGGAAUGCAUCCAAAAGACAUUCAGCAAGUAGAAUUAGUCAAAUUACUAUAAGUGUGAAAAGUGAUGCCCGUAGCUGAAACUGGAAAAAAAAAAUUAAGAAGGACAUCCGUAGCACAGAAUAUAAAAGGCAAAGUCAGGCAAAAAUAUAAAUUUUUAAAAGUUCUUUGGGAGUUCCCAUCGUGGCUCAGCGGAAAUGAAUCUGACUAAUAUCCAUGAGGACGCAGGUUUGAUCCCUGACCUCACUCAGUGGGUUAAGGAUCUGGUGUUGUUGUGAGCUGUGGUGUAGGUGGCAGAUGUGGCUCGGAUCUGGUGUUGCUGUGGCUGUGAUGUAGGACAGUGGCUAUAGCUCUGAUUCAACUAGCCUGAGAACCUUCAUAUGCUGUGGGGUAUGGUCCUAAAAAGACAAAAAAAAAAAAAAAAAAGUUCUUUAUAAAUAGUUGAUCAUGCAUUUUCUGCCUACAAAGAGGCUACUUUCAGAAAAUAUCAUUUAUUCCCCCUUUUUAAAAAAGAACAUAAAACUUACCCCAGUGGCUUUUCUUUUUAUAAAAGUUGCCCUAUUUGAUGUGCUCGUAUAAACAAUCUCCAACUGUGCCAAAAAGUUUUGGAGCAUCAUUCAACAAUGGAAAUGCUUCAUCUUUGUACCUGAGAUGCUUAAGCACAAGCAAGUUCUCCUAUAAUAUAAAAAAUAAACAUAUCAGAAAUCAACUGGAAACAAAACUCAUCUGCAGGAAGUGCCCAGGCAUUUUUCCAUUAGCUUUUAACACAGGGAAAACAAGAUGGUAAGGUGACAUUGUUUCAUGGUUUUUAAAACCGGUAGCUUCUGCAAGAGAGGCAGCAUCAGAGGAGCCAAAAAUAAGGGAUGCAAUGUGGGAAGUAUGCCUUCUUUCCUACUGUGGAUGCUGUGGUGUGUUGCUCAGAUUUCCUCUUCAGUACUGAGGUGCUUGAUCUUCCAGAAGCAGGGACUGUUGGUGGCCGACAGUUUUCAGUUCAAUUGCUCUUAGCCCCCUUCCCAGGGGCAGCCCCUAUUUAUUGACUGAUUGUUUGGGGUAGGUGGGUAUAAAGCCCUGGCUCCCUUGACUGAAGCUGGGGAGCAUCUCCGAAGGGCCAUCCCUGCUCCAGAGCCCCUACAGGACUAGCUGAGGCCUCUGUUGGAACUGUGGUACAGCUCCUUUCUUCCUCUGC